UUUCGAAGUAAACAAACAAAACAAGUCACCUUACUUUUGAGUUUUUUUUUGUUCAUCGCUUGAUCCCAGCCGGCCCGGAACUGGACCGUGAAUUACCGUCACCACCGGCCAAGGCUACCGUCGAUUCCCCGCAGGGCUACUUUAAGUGUAAAAGUGCGGGAUGAUUUGCAACGGAUUCAUGCACAACCACAAAUAUUCACAACAAAGAACCGACAAUCCUCCCUCAAAUUCCAUCAUCAGAAUCGCCGAACGUGCUGUCGGUUGCGUUGACCGAGGUCAAGGAACGGAACAAGUAGAAUUGGGGUGUCCGGGAGGAUUUGGUCCAGUUUAAGUCUACGCCUCGCCAUUACAGAGUGUGUUCGCUUUGACAGAAGUGGUCCGACUGCUGUCGGAGAAUGUGUCCCGCCAGCAGGGCGUCCGGAUCGGGGGGCUCGUUCCAGGCGGUUGAUCUUCUAACGAAGAGCCGAUCUUCGAAAAUCAGGAUUUGAAACCGCAUUCGUGGCUUAGGCGCCUUUGUGCGUGGUGCCAUGGAACUGAGUCUAAAUCCUCCACUGGACAUCAACCAGAUCGUCAAACCGAGCACGUUGCACGCUUCUCCUCCUCCAACUUCAAGCACCGGAACUCACGUCACGGGGAGCACCAUGCCAACGGAAUCGACGGCGCCCAGCAGUAUCCAGCUGCAGGACGGACAUCAAGGCAGAUUUGUACUGCCAGAUAAGAUAAUUCGACUUAUUCGAAGU
Long non-coding RNA from Culex quinquefasciatus (southern house mosquito), 740 nucleotides. RefSeq lists it as uncharacterized. Lineage: Eukaryota; Metazoa; Arthropoda; Insecta; Diptera; Culicidae. The transcript has 3 exons. The record is from RefSeq and is a predicted model, not a curated record.